RNAcentral lists this ribosomal RNA (253 nucleotides) under uncultured bacterium. Its description in RNAcentral is "partial 16S ribosomal RNA". It matches the Rfam family "Bacterial small subunit ribosomal RNA", at positions 524 to 776 of the family's 1533-position model. The record is from RNAcentral.
UACGUAGGGGGCAAGCGUUGUCCGGAAUCAUUGGGCGUAAAGAGCGCGUAGGCGGUCCGGUAAGUCGGUUGUGAAAACUGGGGGCUCAACCCUCAGAGGCCGACCGAUACUGUCGGGCUAGAGUCCGGAAGAGGCGAGUGGAAUUCCUGGUGUAGCGGUGAAAUGCGCAGAUAUCAGGAGGAACACCGGUGGCGAAGGCGGUUCUCUGGGCCUGACCUGACGCUGAGGAGCGAAAGCGUGGGGAGCGAACAGG